AGCAAGCCCAUGUCAAAACUGCUGUGCUCGACCGGAGAGUUGAAUCAGAACUUUACCCUUUGUACCAAAAAGUGCAUAAGGGUGGACGUUACUUAACCAUCGUUUCAAUCCUGGUGACAUGAAGUCAUUGCUAACCAGGGCCGGUCACUGCAACCAAAACAAGACUUCAUGGGUGCAUAUCAGAUGCCCGUCGCAGGUGUGUCAGCUUGUGACCAACUGGGAAAGCAGAUGCAGCUCGCCUCAAAGAAAUGCAUCAUCGACAUGCACGAGCUGCUUCAAAGACUGAGACUGGAGGACAAAUAAACGAGCCUGCGGGUGGA
Molecule: long non-coding RNA, 320 nt
Filed under: Ixodes scapularis (black-legged tick)
Lineage: Eukaryota; Metazoa; Arthropoda; Arachnida; Ixodida; Ixodidae
Description: uncharacterized LOC115318633, transcript variant X2
Source: RNAcentral